UACGAAGGUGGCAAGCGUUACUCGGAAUUACUGGGCGUAAAGCGCGUGUAGGCGGAAAAAUAAGUCAGGGGUGAAAUCCCGGGGCUCAACCUCGGAAUUGCCUUUGAAACUAUUUUUCUUGAGUGUAGCAGAGGAUGGUGGAAUUUCCAGUGUAGAGGUGAAAUUCGUAGAUAUUGGAAGGAACACCAGCGGCGAAGGCGACCAUCUGGGCUACAACUGACGCUGAGACGCGAAAGCGUGGGGAGCAAACGGG
RNAcentral lists this ribosomal RNA (253 nucleotides) under uncultured bacterium. Its description in RNAcentral is "partial 16S ribosomal RNA". It matches the Rfam family "Bacterial small subunit ribosomal RNA", at positions 524 to 776 of the family's 1533-position model. The record is from RNAcentral.